Molecule: ribosomal RNA, 1317 nt
Filed under: metagenome
Description: bacterial SSU rRNA
Rfam family: Bacterial small subunit ribosomal RNA
Source: RNAcentral
AGAGUUUGAUUCUGGCUCAGAACGAACGCUGGCGGCGUGGAUAAGACAUGCAAGUCGAACGGGACUCUGGUUGUAGCAAUACAAACGGGGUUCAGUGGCGCAAGGGUGCGUAACACGUGGGCAACCUGCCGGGAAAUGGGGGAUAGCUCGCCGAAAGGCGAAUUAAUACCGCAUGUGAUCAUCUCUCGCAUGAGAGAGACAUUAAAGCUGGGGAUCGUAAGACCUGGCGUUUCCCGAUGGGCCCGCGGCCUAUCAGCUAGUUGGCGGGGUAACGGCCCACCAAGGCUCUGACGGGUAGCUGGUCUGAGAUGACGACCAGCCACACUGGAACUGAGACACGGUCCAGACACCUACGGGUGGCAGCAGUCGAGAAUCUUUCACAAUGGGGGAAACCCUGAUGGAGCGACGCCGCGUGGAGGAUGAAGGUCUUCGGAUUGUAAACUCCUGUCAUGAGAGAACAAAGACUCACGGCGAACACCUGUGAGGACUGAUAGUAUUUCAAGAGGAAGAGACGGCUAACUCUGUGCCAGCAGCCGCGGUAAUACAGAGGUCUCGAGCGUUGUUCGGAUUCAUUGGGCGUAAAGGGUGCGUAGGCGGCGAGGUAAGUCGGAUGUGAAAUCCCGGGGCUCAACCCCGGAACUGCAUUCGAUACUGCCUCGCUUGAGGACUGGAGAGGAGACUGGAAUUCACGGUGUAGCAGUGAUAUGCGUAGAUAUCGUGAGGAAGACCGGUGGCGAAGGCGGGUCUCUGGACAGUUCCUGACGCUGAGGCACGAAGGCCAGGGGAGCAAACGGGAUUAGAUACCCCGGUAGUCCUGGCAGUAAACGGUGUACGUUUGGUGUGGGAGGAUUCGACCCCUUCCGUGCCGGAGCUAACGCGUUAAACGUACCGCCUGGGGAGUACGGUCGCAAGAUUAAAACUCAAAGAAAUUGACGGGGGCCCGCACAAGCGGUGGAGUAUGUGGCUUAAUUCGAUCCACGCGAAGAACCUUACCUGGUCUUGACAUGGUGGGAUUAACCCCGAGAAACCGGGGUGAUUAUCCGCAAGGAUGUAACCAUCACAGGUGCUGCAUGGCUGUCGUCAGCUCGUGUCGUGAGAUGUUGGGUUAAGUCCCGCAACGAGCGCAACCCCUGUGAGCUGUUGCUACCCUCUUCGGAGGAAGCACUCUGCUCAGACUGCCCUGUUUAACGGGGAGGAAGGUGGGGAUGACGUCAAGUCAGUAUGGCCCUUACGGCCAGGGCUGCACACGUACUACAAUGCCCAGUACAGAAUGAACCGAAACCGCGAGGUGGAGGAAAUCUCAAAAACUGGGCCCAG